CUUGCGCUCUCUGGUAUUCCGGAGAGCAUGCCUGUUUGAGUGUCAU
Molecule: ribosomal RNA, 46 nt
Filed under: Trichosporon sp. HP-2184
Lineage: Eukaryota; Fungi; Basidiomycota; Tremellomycetes; Trichosporonales; Trichosporonaceae
Also listed under: 1 other name
Description: partial 5.8S ribosomal RNA
Source: RNAcentral